Molecule: non-coding RNA, 92 nt
Organism: Rostrohypoxylon terebratum
Lineage: Eukaryota; Fungi; Ascomycota; Sordariomycetes; Xylariales; Hypoxylaceae
Source: the annotation of a GenBank genome assembly
GGUUUGGUGGUCUAGUGGUAUGAUUCUCGCUUAGGGUAAACCCUACAGCUUAUGUAUGCGAGAGGUCCCGGGUUCAAUCCCCGGCCAAACCC